This 172-nucleotide unclassified non-coding RNA is filed under the name uncultured Stachybotrys. RNAcentral's name for it is "sequence contains ITS1". Lineage: Eukaryota; Fungi; Ascomycota. The record is from RNAcentral.
CUGAGUUUACAACUCCCAAACCCACUGUGAACAUACCUAUCGUUGCUUCGGCGGGAACGCCCCGGCGCGCCCUCAGGGGCUUGCCCGGAACCAGGCGCCCGCCGGAGAACCCAAACUCUCUAUUUCCCGCACAGCGGCAGUAAUUUUCUGAGUACAAACGCAAAAUAAAUUA